GUUUAUAUAGUUUAAAUAAAACAUUACAUUUUCAGUGUAAAAUUGAGACUUCUCUUUAAAUA
RNAcentral lists this transfer RNA (62 nucleotides) under Cryptocephalus mystacatus. Its description in RNAcentral is "tRNA-Glu". Lineage: Eukaryota; Metazoa; Arthropoda; Insecta; Coleoptera; Chrysomelidae. The record is from RNAcentral.